RNAcentral lists this ribosomal RNA (2727 nucleotides) under Triticum aestivum (bread wheat). Its description in RNAcentral is "partial small subunit ribosomal RNA". Lineage: Eukaryota; Viridiplantae; Streptophyta; Magnoliopsida; Poales; Poaceae. The record is from RNAcentral.
AUGCCUAGCCGGGUGGGCGCUGACGACACCGGGGGCGGCCCCGGAGUGGCGGAGAUCGUGGAGGCCAGCGGCGGCGCGCACGAGAGAGCCGUGCCUCCGGGGAGUCGUUCCGCGGCGCGGAAGACCGCGCGGUUCGCCGAGCCCGUGCCUGCGCCGCGCGGGGGCGGCCCGAGCCGCCUCGACAGGUCCAUGUCGUCCGCCCCCGCGCAGGCGCUCGAGGGUCUCAAGUUCAUCAGCGAGACAGACGUCUCCGACGGAUGGACCCGCGCCGCCGGGUUCUUCGACAGUAACUCCCAGAAUGACCUCCUCCCCCGGUCCAUGUUCGGCGAGUGCAUCGGUACGUAUGAAAGAGGUCGCGUCGCCGGCGAGCUGUUCGACACGCUGGCAAGGCGGCGGGGCAUCUCCGGGGACAGCAUCGACAAGGCGGAGCUGCGUGAGUUCUGGGAUCAAAUUUCAGACCCCAGCUUCAAGAGCCGCCUGCAGCUCUUCUUCGACAUGGUGGACAAGAACGCUGACGGGAGGAUCAGCGAUGUGGAGGUCAAACAGAUCAUCACAUUGAGCGCGUCCGCGAACCAUCUAACAAUAACCGCACAACAGUCCGAGGAGUAUGUCAAGCUCAUCAUGGAGGAGUUGGACCCCCACGGCCGUGGCUACAUCGAGCUGCACAGCUUAGAGAUGCUAUUACUGAAGCCGUUAAGCGAGACGAUGACCAAGGGCGGUAAAUUGGCGGAACCCAAUUGGCACAAGCAGUUGUACCGCCGCGCCCGAUACUUCCUGAAGGACAAUUGGCGCCGCUGUUGGGUGAUGCUCCUGUGGCUAUCCAUCUGCGCGGGGCUAUUCGCUUGGAAGUUCAUGCAGUACCGCCACCGCGCUGUGUUCAAGGUGAUGGGCUAUUGCGUGUGUGUGGCCAAGGGUGGCCCCGAGACACUCAAGUUCAACAUGGCGCUCACUCUCCUUCCCGUGUGCCGCAACACCAUCACGUGGCUUCGGAGCCGCACCACGCUCGGACGGUUUGUGCCAUUUAACGACAACCUCAACUUCCACAAGAUGAUCGCUGUGGGGAUCUCUGUCGGCGCCGGGCUUCAUAUCAUCUCUCACCUGACGUGCGACUUCCCGAGGCUGGUGCACGCCACCGAUGAUGAGUAUGAGCCCAUGAAGCCAUUCUUCGGCGACGUGAAGCCGCCCAACUAUUGGUGGUUCUGGAAGGGCACAGAAGGGUGGACCGGGCUAGUGAUGUUGACAAAGAAGUCUAAGAGCCUCGUUGAGUCCAAGAAUCCAAAUAGCCUUCCCGGGCUGCUCGGACGCCUCACCCGGUCCGUGAGUGCCUCGCACAACCGCCUCACUAUGCUCAUCAACACCUCGUUCAAUCGCUUCACUGGGUACAAUGCCUUCUUGUACACACACCAUCUGUUCGUCAUCGUCUACGCGCUGCUCAUCGUCCACGGGCACUUCCUCUACCUCACCAAGAAGUGGCAAAAGAAGACGACGUGGAUGUACCUGACAGUGCCAAUUGUCGUGUACGCGUGCGAACGACUGACGCGAACACUCCGAUCGAGGGUGCGGUUGGUGGAGAAGAUCAAGGUGGCCGUGCACCCGCACCCCGCAAGCCUGCUGUCCCUGCACAUGUCCAAGCCUGAGGGGUUCAGGUUCAAGGGCGGACAAUACAUCUUCAUCAAAUGCCCAGACGUCUCAAAAUUUGAGUGGCACCCGUUCUCCAUCACAUCGGCGCCGGAGGACGACUGCGUCAGCAUCCACAUCAAGGCGCUUGGUGACUGGACCGAAGACCUCAGGGACGCCUUCCUUAAGGACGAGGACGGCGAGGCCGGGUGCCGCGGCACCGCAUUGGCCGCGGUCGGUGAAGGGGGCGAAGAAGGGCGGCUUCCCUGGCCGUGGCCGUGGCCGUGGCCCUGGGAGUUGGUGCGGUGGAAGCGACACUUGAAGGACCCGGCGUGGGUGGCCGGCGCGCAGACGCACUUGGAAGCGGGCCUGUGGCCCGUGCCGGAGGGCGCCGACGCCGACCCGGGCCACCUCCUCCGCGUAUUCUUGGAGCUAUUCCCCAAGAUACUGAUCGAUGGGCCGUAUGGUGCACCCGCGGAGGAUUACAAGCGGUACGAGGUUGUGCUUCUGGUGGGACUCGGCAUCGGCGCUACGCCCAUGAUCUCGAUCAUCAAGGACAUCAUCAACAACACGAAGCGGCUCCCCGGGGACAUCGAGUCUGGCAACCCCGGCGACGCAAGCGCGUCGACGUCGUUCAAGACUUGCCGCGCCUACUUCUACUGGACCACCCGGGAGCAGGGCUCCUUCGAGUGGUUCCGUGGGAUCAUGGACGAGGUGGCCGAGACGGACAGGGAUGGCAUCAUCAAGCUCCACACCCACUGCACCAGCGUCCACAAGGAGGGCGACGCCCGGUCGGCGCCCCUCACCAUUCUCCAGUCCCUGUACUAUGCCAAGCACGGCAUCGACAUCAUCUCCGGCAGUCGAGUCAAGACCACCUUCGGGCGAGCGGACUGGCGUGAAGCCUACGAGCGCAUCGCUCAGGAGAACCAAGGAAAACGCGUCGGAGUGUUCUACUGCGGCAUGCCGACACUGACAAAUGAAUUGCGCUAUCUUGCAAAGGAUCUCUCGAGAAAAACAAGCACACAAUUUGUUCCACAAGGAAAACUUCUAGCUUUGCCAGCCAUCCACCCACAAGGAGUUUCUCUUUUUGCGGAAACCAUGUUAAUUUAG